UGAAUACAAGGCUGCCUUGGUUGUGGGAA
Molecule: non-coding RNA, 29 nt
Filed under: Mus musculus (house mouse)
Lineage: Eukaryota; Metazoa; Chordata; Mammalia; Rodentia; Muridae
Source: RNAcentral